This 212-nucleotide ribosomal RNA is filed under the name uncultured bacterium. Its description in RNAcentral is "partial 16S ribosomal RNA". It matches the Rfam family "Bacterial small subunit ribosomal RNA", at positions 29 to 270 of the family's 1533-position model. The record is from RNAcentral.
AACGAACGCUGGCGGCAGGCCUAACACAUGCAAGUCGAGCGAACCUUCGGGUUAGCGGCGGACGGGUUAGUAACGCGUGGGAAUAUGCCCAAAGGUACGGAACAACAGUUGGAAACGGCUGCUAAUACCGUAUGUGCCCUACGGGGGAAAGAUUUAUCGCCUUUGGAUUAGCCCGCGUUAGAUUAGGUAGUUGGUGGGGUAAUGGCCUACCA